Molecule: long non-coding RNA, 597 nt
Filed under: Elaeis guineensis (African oil palm)
Lineage: Eukaryota; Viridiplantae; Streptophyta; Magnoliopsida; Arecales; Arecaceae
Description: long non-coding RNA (EGUI_LNC014410)
Source: RNAcentral
GAGAUUUGGAUUUCUAGAUAUUUUGGCCCAAAACAGCAGAAGUCGACUCAUGAGUCGACUCAUGCCUUGUGGGUCGACUCAUGAGCCGACUCACAGGUCGUGCCAAGCCAAAAAACCAGCGUGCCAAGGGAAAUUUUAGCGUGCCAAGCAGCUCAUUUCGCCAUGAGUUGACUCAUGAGUCGACUCAUGCACUUCAAACAUUCAUAACUUCAAAAAUAUAAGUCCAAAAAUAAUGAAAUUUUCACCAAUAGAUUACAAAUCAUUUGUUCUACCAAAUGAUACUAUCAAAUCAGAAUUUUAGUAAAAUUAUGAUUUUGCCCCUGAAGAGUAUAAAGACUUUUUCAAAUAAAAAUAUUUGUAUCCCUUCAAUCUGCUUUGUAAUCAUCAAAAUCAAUCUAGGAGCAACACCUAGGCACCCAAGAGGGCCUAUAAAUAGACCUAACCUACUUCUCUCCUCUCAUCUAGCCCUAAGCCUCUAUAAAUCCUCCCAUAUGCUGCUGCCCUCUCUCUUCUUCAUUUUUUCAUAAGCCAUGCUUUUCUUUCUCUCUGCUACAUAGAAACCUAGCCGCCCCCUUUCUCCCUUCACACACUUCUAGG